UUUAAUUGGACUCAACGCCGGGCAGCUCACCGGAUAAGACAGCUGGAUGAUAGCCGGGCUGAAGACUCUGCUUGACUAGCUGAGAGGAGGUGCAUGGCCGUCGUCAGUUCGUACUGUGAAGCAUCCUGUUAAGUCAGGCAACGAGCGAGACCCACGCCAACAGUUGCCAGCAUGUCCUCCGGGAUGAUGGGGACACUGUUGGGACCGCCUCUGCUAAAGAGGAGGAAGGAAUGGGCAACGGUAGGUCAGCAUGCCCCGAAUUAUCCGGGCUACACGCGGGCUACAAUGGUCAGGACAAUGGGUAUCGAUACCGAGAGGUGGAGGCAAUCUCCUAAACCUGUCCUUAGUUCGGAUUGUGGGCUGCAACUCGCCCACAUGAAGCUGGAAUCCGUAGUAAUCGCGUUUCAAAAUAGCGCGGUGAAUAUGUCCCUGCUCCUU
This 438-nucleotide ribosomal RNA is filed under the name uncultured Methanolinea sp. Its description in RNAcentral is "bacterial SSU rRNA". It matches the Rfam family "Archaeal small subunit ribosomal RNA", at positions 901 to 1338 of the family's 1478-position model. Lineage: Archaea; Methanobacteriati; Methanobacteriota; Methanomicrobia; Methanomicrobiales; Methanoregulaceae. The record is from RNAcentral.